Molecule: long non-coding RNA, 449 nt
Filed under: Hordeum vulgare
Lineage: Eukaryota; Viridiplantae; Streptophyta; Magnoliopsida; Poales; Poaceae
Description: long non-coding RNA (HVUL_LNC010932)
Source: RNAcentral
UUAGAAUUAGUUUAGGAUAAAUCAUGAGCUAGAAACUAACUCUAACCUGUAGAUAAGUUAGAAUAUCCAAACGGGGCCAUGGUGAUAACUCUAGCGCUAUAAGUGACCCUGGUUUCUUAGCUCCCCUGGUGCUCCAAAGUUUGGCUUCCCCUAGUAAAAUCGUCAAUUCCAACAUUUUAAGUACCUCCGUGCACAGAGCAAUCACAUUUUGGGCGCGUAAUCCGUGGCCAAUCGUCAUCCUUUUCAUGUACAAGUACAACCACCAAUUGAAUGUGUAUGUUACAGUAGUGAGAUCAUAUUUACACGUAGUAUUUCAGGCAGCCCUUGUAGUCCCGUAUCUUCGCCAUUGCUUUCUCGAGCGAUCUUUUCUUCACCAGUGUGAACGAAUGCUUAUAUGGUGUUGGUGAUCAAUGGUCAGAGAGGCCGACGAUGGCACCAUCUGCCGGNUC